GACGAACGCUGGCGGCGUGCCUAAUACAUGCAAGUCGAACGCUUUUUCUUUCACCGGAGCUUGCUCCACCGAAAGAAGAAGAGUGGCGAACGGGUGAGUAACACGUGGGUAACCUGCCCAUCAGAAGGGGAUAACACUUGGAAACAGGUGCUAAUACCGUAUAACACUAUUUUCCGCAUGGAAGAAAGUUGAAAGGCGCUUUUGCGUCACUGAUGGAUGGACCCGCGGUGCAUUAGCUAGUUGGUGAGGUAACGGCUCACCAAGGCAACGAUGCAUAGCCGACCUGAGAGGGUGAUCGGCCACACUGGGACUGAGACACGGCCCAGACUACUACGGGAGGCAGCAGUAGGGAAUCUUCGGCAAUGGACGAAAGUCUGACCGAGCAACGCCGCGUGAGUGAAGAAGGUUUUCGGAUCGUAAAACUCUGUUGUUAGAGAAGAACAAGGAUGAGAGUAAAAUGUUCAUCCCUUGACGGUAUCUAACCAGAAAGCCACGGCUAACUACGUGCCAGCCGCCGCGGUAA
RNAcentral lists this ribosomal RNA (523 nucleotides) under uncultured bacterium. Its description in RNAcentral is "partial 16S ribosomal RNA". It matches the Rfam family "Bacterial small subunit ribosomal RNA", at positions 28 to 523 of the family's 1533-position model. The record is from RNAcentral.